RNAcentral lists this ribosomal RNA (429 nucleotides) under Fusobacteriota bacterium. Its description in RNAcentral is "Fusobacteria bacterium partial 16S ribosomal RNA". It matches the Rfam family "Bacterial small subunit ribosomal RNA", at positions 355 to 776 of the family's 1533-position model. Lineage: Bacteria; Fusobacteriati; Fusobacteriota. The record is from RNAcentral.
UGGGGAAUCUUCCGCAAUGGACGAAAGUCUGACGGAGCAACGCUGCGUGAGUGAAGACGGCCUUCGGGUUGUAAAGCUCUGUGAUCCGGGACGAAAGAGCCUGAGGUGAAUAGCCUAAGGAAGUGACGGUACCGGAAAAGCAAGCCACGGCUAACUACGUGCCAGCAGCCGCGGUAAUACGUAGGUGGCAAGCGUUGUCCGGAAUUAUUGGGCGUAAAGCGCGCGCAGGCGGCUUCCUAAGUCCAUCUUAAAAGUGCGGGGCUUAACCCCGUGAUGGGAUGGAAACUGGGAAGCUGGAGUAUCGGAGAGGAAAGUGGAAUUCCUAGUGUAGCGGUGAAAUGCGUAGAGAUUAGGAAGAACACCGGUGGCGAAGGCGACUUUCUGGACGAAAACUGACGCUGAGGCGCGAAAGCGUGGGGAGCAAACAGG